This is a non-coding RNA of Coffea arabica (coffee), 1747 nucleotides long. The record is from RefSeq and is a predicted model, not a curated record. Lineage: Eukaryota; Viridiplantae; Streptophyta; Magnoliopsida; Gentianales; Rubiaceae.
AAAAUAUACAUGUAAAUAAAACUCCUAUCCUACAUUCAUAUGUAUCACUUAUAUUUCUCAAUAGUUUGAUUGUAAUCUACAAUAUAACUUCAUUUACUCAUAAUUUGUUAUGCUUUAUGGUUGUAAUCUAUGCAUAUGUACAGAAGACACUAAAACAUACAUAUGAAUAUAAUCACAUAUACCAUGUGUAAUUGCAAUUUACAAAUACAAUCAAAUUUCAAUGUUACUAGCCUAGAUUAUGCAUGAAAACUUUAUAGAUAACAUGAUUUGUAAUUCAUAGACAUACAAUCAUAUUAUGAUGGAUAACUGGAUAUAAUAGACAAAAACACAAUUAUAGUAUAUGGUGAUGGAUAUCAGGAUACAUAACAAAUAAUACGUGACUAACUAGUCUAACUUAGACAUUUAGAAAUGCAUAUGUAGCAUGAAGGUAGCUGAAUUGGUAACAGUAAUGCGUUACCCUACUUUGAUAUACCAUGUUUGAGUUCGAAAUUAGGCGCACCAGAUUGGGAAAAUCCCUUACCAAUUCUGUACCUACUUCAAAUUCAACAAAUGUGGUGUGCGGUGGGAAUUAUUCACCAACCUAAUUAUCGAAUUACCAAAUUCAUUUCAAAUUGGUCGGUAAUCUGGUGUGCACUGAAUAUGCUCGCCCCUACUUGGCUGGGUGCCCAUUUAUACCAAAAGCUUUGGAGCACUUUCCUUCUCUAAAGAUAUCAAUGCUAGGGCUGACACUUUAUGGACAAUCAGUUAACAGUGAUCAUAAAUGUUGGCUGCAUGCAGAUAAAACUUUGCAUUUUUUAGAUAAUGAUGCCUACGCCUAGCCUUUCAUUGACCAUGCCAUGCUGUAACUGGAGGUCUCAAUUUUGACCUGUACACACUCACUAUAGUGUCUCGGUUGCUCUUUAAGUUGUGGCUGGUCUUUGUUGGAGACACACUAUCACUGUUUAAUCUAAUCAAAGAUGCUUAACCUACAUAAACUUUAGGGUUAAUUCCAAUAAACCCCCUUUAAAAUUACCAUUUUCUCACAUUGAUCUCCUGAAGGUUGAAUUGCAUCAGUCCACCGGUAUAAUAUUACAAUAUUUCCAAUUAUGUGCAAUCCUGUUGGACAGUCCACUUAAUGGCUGAUUGGGUCAUGUGUACUUCACAGGAUGCUGUCAAGUGGCUGAACCAUUCCCACAAUUAUCAGUAGCUGACAUGGUCAGAAAAUUAUAUAAAUGAAGUGACCAAUUUGUCGCUUUUUGUUAGCGAGAGACUAACCCGCCAUUAAAUUGCUUGGCAACCUAAAGAAUUGUAUCAGUUGCCGUCUUAUCAUUUCAAGCAUUAUGAUGGUGGGUUUGUCACUCGAGUAUUUUGAUGAAUUGAUUAAAUGAUUCACAUAUAUUGUUAAAAGUCAUGUCACCCUGAGGGGCCUUUUCUAUAAUAUAGAGAAAUUUUUAGAGAGUCUAGAUGGAGUCAACCCUAAUAAAUUUUAUCAUUAUUCAAGUCUGAUAUGUUGAGUAUUUUUUCUUGGAGUAGCAGUAGCACAUAAGGGCAGCACCGGACAAAGUUUAAAUCUCUGUUCAUAUUGUGUGUAAUCUGAAUAAGAAAUGGCAGAAACAAGUAAGGAGUAGUAACUACAUGACUAGAACAUGGUUGUUCUCAAAUUGUUCAGGAUCACAACAUAGUAACUGUGAUUGGACUACUAAUUCUUGUUAAUAUUUCCCAAAUUGGAGUGGUUUUCUUGAGAUUAAAAAACUUAGGCAAAAAAGAA